Zonotrichia albicollis (white-throated sparrow) is the source of this 1198-nucleotide non-coding RNA. NCBI's taxonomy places the organism in Eukaryota, Metazoa, Chordata, Aves, Passeriformes, Passerellidae. The record is from RefSeq and is a predicted model, not a curated record.
GCAGCCCCAGAGUGUAACCUUGCCUUGGUUUUCUCAAUAUCAGGUGACAAGAGGCCAGGAAGAAUAAAAUAAUAGAGCCGGCAAAAUACUCCUGAGUGCCAUUGUCCAGCCAUUUUCAAAAAGGAGGAAUUCUCCUCAACAUGGCAUACUUCAAAUGCUCAGCAGAUCAGGCAGAGUGAAGAGGAAAAGGCCACACCACAGAGCAAGGUGAGCUGCUGUACCUGAAAAUCCAGAGGGAAUCUGAGGGCUUGCAUUGCUCAUCUCAGUGCUUUUGGACAAGGGCAGAGGAUUUGCUCUCGCUGCUUUGAGUGGUGCCUGCCUGUCUCCCUGGAGUGUGAGAUUGUGUGGUUAAGAAUGCCUGACAUCUCACUGCUGUGCAUGAGGGGCAAAAGCUGUGUCUGGGCCAUGUUUUCAAGCUGACAAUGCAAAGAAUGGAUGAAAUGAGACAAAUCAAAAAGCUGCUCCAUCAAAACUCUCUCAGUCUAGUGGGGGAUCCUGCAUGGAUGGAAGGGAGCAGAAAAAGGGCCAAAGUAUUUGAGCAGCCUUGGAAUUGCUCCCUACUCCUCUUCCUGUUCCUGAGGCUGGGGACAAUACAUUUACACCAAAUGGUGUUCUCUCUAAAGGAAAACUAAAUGGGGUGUGAAGAACAAUUCAAGUCCCUGGGGAAAUACAAGGAGACUAAAUCAGAUUGAGCAUGUCAAAACCAUCUCAGGUGAUAGAAUUAUAGGAGAACAAGGAAGGAUGUAGACAAAUAUGGGAAGGAAAAAUAGGUGCUGAGUGCUUUGAAGCCUCCUGCAUCAAUCCAGUGGAGACCAAGGGCAUCCUGACCUUCCCAGGAAGCUGCUUGGAUUUGUCCUCAGGGUCUUCAGAAACCAAAACUAAAAAAGACCCAGACAGUAAAAAUAAGGGCUGAGUUAUUCUGACUGUAUACUAAAUGAUGCUCCUAGCCCAGAAUUUGGUGAAAAAGCAGAUGUCACGUUCCACUGUGGGAAAGGUGAUGAGUUCUUUUAAAUGAUCCAGAACUGAGAUCACUAUUAUUUGUAGCCAUGACUGGGAGCAAAUGGAACUAAACAACUGUAAGAAAUGAAUUGCCAGUGAAUUGUGUCCCUUUUUAGUGGAGUGUCUCAAGAUCUACAUAUAUUUAAAGUUCCACUUCCUUCGUGGUCUUUGCACUGGUGCAAAUUUUCUAUCAGAGCCA